Rosa rugosa (rugosa rose) is the source of this 151-nucleotide long non-coding RNA. RefSeq lists it as uncharacterized. The record is from RefSeq and is a predicted model, not a curated record. Lineage: Eukaryota; Viridiplantae; Streptophyta; Magnoliopsida; Rosales; Rosaceae. The transcript is spliced from 3 exons.
AUUAUUUAUAAUUACAUUCCAAAAGUUGGCUCGCUUGGACAUGAUUUGAUGUUCAGGACUAGCACUGUACAGGUCAAUCUGGACUUCAGUUCUGAAGCAGACAUGAAACGGAAACUUCGUGCUAGUCUUGCUUUGCAGCCUAUAGCAACAG